UACGUAGGGUGCGAGCGUUAAUCGGAAUUACUGGGCGUAAAGCGUGCGCAGGCGGCUUUGCAAGACAGAUGUGUAAUCCCCGGGCUCAACCUGGGAACUGCAUUUGUGACUGCAAGGCUAGAGUACGGCAGAGGGGGAUGGAAUUCCGCGUGUAGCAGUGAAAUGCGUAGAUAUGCGUAGGAACACCAAUGGCGAAGGCAAUCCCCUGGGCCUGUACUGACGCUCAUGCACGAAAGCGUGGGGAGCAAACAGG
Molecule: ribosomal RNA, 253 nt
Filed under: uncultured bacterium
Lineage: Bacteria
Description: partial 16S ribosomal RNA
Rfam family: Bacterial small subunit ribosomal RNA
Source: RNAcentral